CGGUAACAGGAAGAAGCUUGCUUCUUUGCUGACGAGUGGCGGACGGGUGAGUAAUGUCUGGGAAACUGCCUGAUGGAGGGGGAUAACUACUGGAAACGGUAGCUAAUACCGCAUAACGUCGCAAGACCAAAGAGGGGGACCUUCGGGCCUCUUGCCAUCGGAUGUGCCCAGAUGGGAUUAGCUAGUAGGUGGGGUAACGGCUCACCUAGGCGACGAUCCCUAGCUGGUCUGAGAGGAUGACCAGCCACACUGGAACUGAGACACGGUCCAGACUCCUACGGGAGGCAGCAGUGGGGAAUAUUGCACAAUGGGCGCAAGCCUGAUGCAGCCAUGCCGCGUGUAUGAAGAAGGCCUUCGGGUUGUAAAGUACUUUCAGCGGGGAGGAAGGGAGUAAAGUUAAUACCUUUGCUCAUUGACGUUACCCGCAGAAGAAGCACCGGCUAACUCCGUGCCAGCAGCCGCGGUAAUACGGAGGGUGCAAGCGUUAAUCGGAAUUACUGGGCGUAAAGCGCACGCAGGCGGUUUGUUAAGUCAGAUGUGAAAUCCCCGGGCUCAACCUGGGAACUGCAUCUGAUACUGGCAAGCUUGAGUCUCGUAGAGGGGGGUAGAAUUCCAGGUGUAGCGGUGAAAUGCGUAGAGAUCUGGAGGAAUACCGGUGGCGAAGGCGG
Molecule: ribosomal RNA, 668 nt
Filed under: uncultured bacterium
Lineage: Bacteria
Description: bacterial SSU rRNA
Rfam family: Bacterial small subunit ribosomal RNA
Source: RNAcentral